CUACGGCCACAUCAAGUUGAAACACCGGUUCCCAUACAAUCACCAAAGUUAAGCAACGUCGAGCCUGGUUAGUAGCACGAAGGGUGACCGCUUGGGAAUAUCAGGUACUGUAUG
Non-coding RNA from Acanthosepion pharaonis, 114 nucleotides. Lineage: Eukaryota; Metazoa; Mollusca; Cephalopoda; Sepiida; Sepiidae. The record is from the annotation of a GenBank genome assembly.